This 324-nucleotide ribosomal RNA is filed under the name uncultured eukaryote. RNAcentral's name for it is "partial 18S ribosomal RNA". It matches the Rfam family "Eukaryotic small subunit ribosomal RNA", at positions 1470 to 1796 of the family's 1831-position model. The record is from RNAcentral.
CCCUUAGACGUUCUGGGCCGCACGCGCGCUACACUGACCAGUGCAACAAGCAUCCGUCCUUGGCCGACAGGCCCGGGCAAUCUUUGAACGCUGGUCGUGAUGGGGAUAGACUUUUGCAAUUUUUGGUCUUCAACGAGGAAUUCCUAGUAAACGCAAGUCAUCAACUUGCAUUGAUUACGUCCCUGCCCUUUGUACACACCGCCCGUCGCACCUACCGAUUGAAGAGUUAGGUGAAUUGUUUUGAUCGAUAAGAUUUGACUAUGGUCAACUCUCGUUGUGAAAUUCUGUGAAUCUGACUGUUUAGAGGAAGGAAAAGUCGUAACA